AUUUAAAUUCGAGGUCAAAGUUCAAUUUAUAUGUAUAAAAUUAUCGUUAGAAUAACUUUCGAAACAGUCGAUUUAGCGAAAAAUCACAAGAGAAUUUAUUUGCAGAGCGUUAAAUUGUCUCCUAAAAUAUGAGCUUCCAUAAUUUUCUACACAUUCGUCAAGGACCUAUAAAAUUUCAAAGAACGAAACACGUUUUUCCCAUGUCAUUUUCACAAGAAACUUCGUUGUCAAUGCGGACUAUCUCAGAGUUGAUAUCAAAAGCUCAGAUUUUCAGUAAAUUCCCUCAAAUCUAUUCCUAAGCGUUCAAGCCCCUGGGAGGAUCUAAAUUCGAAAACAACCCCAUCAAGGACCUGCACCCUACCGCUCACCUUGGUGAACAUCCCGAAGGAUACGCUCGCGAAGUGACAGGCGGUCAGAACGAACGGACGUUUUCCGAUUACCAUCGCCAUGUUCCUCUUCAUUUUCACGUCCACAGACUCCAGGAUCCAAUCGCUUUCGUACGCCGCGUGGGACACCUGCUCGCUCUGCGUCGCAUGGAGCGAUUAAAUGGCGAUGACUCGGUCGAUAUCACAGAUGGAUCGAUUCGGCAGAUGUUUUCUUUCGGGACCACCACCAGGGCAGAAAAAUUGAAAACAGUUUAGCAAAGUUCAAAGAAUAGUUUGAAAAAAAGUGGACCCUUUGACGUGCUGAAAUGAAAGAAAGGAAAAAGAAAAGGAGCAAUGAAAACGACCUUUUGAAAGUAACGUUUCGAGAUCACUUUUAUUCCACAUUUUAAUGUAAAACUAAACGAUCGUCGUAUAUAUAUAUAUAUAUAUAUCAUUUAUAAAGGUAUUAUCUAAAAGUCUUAAAGAUUAAAAAGACACUGUGAUUGUUAGUCGUGAUUUCAGCAAAAAGGCACUCGUAUAAUCACGAUUAAAUUAUUCGGCAAGGACUCCAUUAUACGCAUACAUGUAAAAAACAAUGAUUACAAAUUUUAUAGUUACAAUAUAGUUUACUAGAUUUCUUCUUGUGCUGAUAUAAAAACUUUGUUAGAAAAUUUCUAAAUACCUAAGCAACGGGCGGCAGCUUCUUUGAUCAGUUAAAUUAAUUAGGAAGCAUAAAUUUACAUUACAUAAAACUAGUUAAAUAGUAACUGCAAUAGAAAAAAAACGAAAGAUAUAGCACACAAGUUUUUUUAAAUAAAUAUUCAAUUUCAAUUGAUUCCCUUGUACUUUGUAAAGAGAUUGUAGAGAACACGAAGGGUGGACUUCAGAUCUAAGUUGACGAUGUCUGAAAUUGAUAUAAAAAUUGUUACGUUAAAACCAAUUUCAGCAAAGGUAGUAAGGAACGGUGGAUGGAAUUUUACCUUCGGGCCUGGCUUUGGGUUUUGGUAAACCAAUUUCUUGCAUAAGAUCGAAUGCGAAUGACACGUUGUGCACCUUUUGGUCGUGGGUUUUUGGGGUCAGAUGGAAGCUGCCUAGAGGAACGAAGAAUCCCUCCAGAAGACCAAGGAGCAAGGUGAGAAAUACUCCGUCGUGAAAUUGUGUAUCCAACUCCGUUACUUCCAGAUGCACUUUGCUCAAGUGCUUAUUUACAAACGUAACCAACGACU
This 1591-nucleotide unclassified non-coding RNA is filed under the name Athalia rosae (coleseed sawfly). Its description in RNAcentral is "misc RNA ENSAEAG00005011150.1". The record is from RNAcentral. Lineage: Eukaryota; Metazoa; Arthropoda; Insecta; Hymenoptera; Athaliidae.